CCUACGGGAGGCAGCAGUGGGGAAUAUUGGGCAAUGGGCGCAAGCCUGACCCAGCAACGCCGCGUGAAGGAAGAAGGCCUUCGGGUUGUAAACUUCUUUUAAGAGGGAAGAGGAGAAGACGGUACCUCUUGAAUAAGCCACGGCUAACUACGUGCCAGCAGCCGGGGUAAUACGUAGGUGGCAAGCGCUGUCCGGAUUUACUGGGAGUAAAGGGCGUGCAGCCGGGCUGAGAAGUCAGAUGUGAAAUCCCGUGGCUCAACCACGGAACUGCAUUUGAAACUGCCGGUCUUGAGUAUCGGAGAGGCAGGCGGAAUUCCUGGUGUAGCGGUGAAAUGCGUAGAGAUUAGGAGGAACACCAGUGGCGAAGGCGGCCUGCUGGACGACAACUGACGGUGAGGCGCGAAAGCGUGGGGAGCAAACAGGAUUAGAUACCCGAGUAGUC
Molecule: ribosomal RNA, 442 nt
Filed under: uncultured bacterium
Lineage: Bacteria
Description: partial 16S ribosomal RNA
Rfam family: Bacterial small subunit ribosomal RNA
Source: RNAcentral